This 170-nucleotide ribosomal RNA is filed under the name Aseraggodes cheni (reticulated sole). Its description in RNAcentral is "partial 12S rRNA". The record is from RNAcentral. Lineage: Eukaryota; Metazoa; Chordata; Actinopteri; Pleuronectiformes; Soleidae. RNAcentral also lists the same sequence under 1 other name.
UACCGCGGUUAUACGAGAGGCUCAAGUUGAUAAUCUAACGGCACAAAAGGUGGUUACGUAAAACAUUAAACUAAGGCCGAACGCUUUCAAAGCUGUUAUACGCACUCGAAAGUAUGAAGACCAAACACGAAAGUGGCCUUAUAGAAGCCGACGCCACGAAAGCUAAGAAA